This 77-nucleotide transfer RNA is filed under the name Rattus norvegicus (Norway rat). It matches the Rfam family "tRNA". From Rfam's summary of the family: Transfer RNA (tRNA) molecules are approximately 80 nucleotides in length. Their secondary structure includes four short double-helical elements and three loops (D, anti-codon, and T loops). Lineage: Eukaryota; Metazoa; Chordata; Mammalia; Rodentia; Muridae. The record is from Rfam by way of RNAcentral.
GGGGAUUUAGCUCAGUGGUAGAGCGCUUGCCUAGCAAAGGCCUAGCGCAAAGGUCCUGGGUUCGGUCCCCAGCUCCA